UUCCAGCUCCAAUAGCGUAUAUUAAAGUUGUUGCAGUUAAAAAGCUCGUAGUUGAAUUUCUGUUUAGAGAGUCUCAUGCAACUUCGGUUCGCAUUGUGGAUUAUUCUAAACAUUUUUCCAAAACGCGCGGUGCACUUAAUUGUGUGGCGUUGUGUUUGGAUCUUUUACUUUGAGAAAAUUAGAGUGUUUCAAGCAAGCAUACGCUUUGAAUACUGCAGCAUGGAAUAAUGUAAUAAGACUUCGGUUUUAUUUGUUGGUUUCUAAGACUGAAGUAAUGAUUGAUAGGGACAGUUAGGGGCAUUCGUAUUUAACUGUCAGAGGUGAAAUUCUUGGAUUUGUUAAAGACGAACUACUGCGAAAGCAUUUGCCAGGGAUGUUUUCAUCG
This 385-nucleotide ribosomal RNA is filed under the name Apicomplexa sp. RNAcentral's name for it is "partial small subunit ribosomal RNA". It matches the Rfam family "Eukaryotic small subunit ribosomal RNA", at positions 583 to 975 of the family's 1831-position model. Lineage: Eukaryota; Apicomplexa. The record is from RNAcentral.